This 253-nucleotide ribosomal RNA is filed under the name uncultured bacterium. Its description in RNAcentral is "partial 16S ribosomal RNA". It matches the Rfam family "Bacterial small subunit ribosomal RNA", at positions 524 to 776 of the family's 1533-position model. The record is from RNAcentral.
UACGUAGGGUGCGAGCGUUGUCCGGAAUUACUGGGCGUAAAGAGCUCGUAGGUGGUUUGUCGCGUUGUUCGUGAAAACCGGGGGCUUAACCCUCGGCGUGCGGGCGAUACGGGCAGACUUGAGUACUGCAGGGGAGACUGGAAUUCCUGGUGUAGCGGUGGAAUGCGCAGAUAUCUGGAGGAACACCGGUGGCGAAGGCGGCAUCCUGGACCAUAACUGACACUGAUAAGCGAAAGCCAGGGGAGCAAACGGG